Molecule: long non-coding RNA, 1551 nt
Organism: Bos taurus (domestic cattle)
Lineage: Eukaryota; Metazoa; Chordata; Mammalia; Artiodactyla; Bovidae
Source: Ensembl
CUAGUAGGAAAAGUCUUGGCAUUUAGGAAGGGGGCCUUUUGAAGCAUGAUGCCUCAGUAAGAUAAAAACAGAGCCCCCCUUUCCCAUCCCCAUGCCCGCUCAGGGGCAAAAUAUUUCAGACAAUGCUUCUCACCAGUAAGCAUACCUUACUGUGGGCUGAGUGCCCCCGGGGCCUGGUCAGUCCUGGGCUGCCCCUGACUAGCACAGCUCAUCGGUUCUUUGAGGAAGAAGCCGCCUCACUCCUGCACAUCCCUGAGAGUGCACAUUCCAGCCACAGGCCUGGGUGCCCUCCUCUGAGGUCCUCCUCUGACCCAAGCCAGGCUCCGAGGGAGAUGGAAAACACACUGGACGCUGCAAGAUUGGCAGGGACACUGCUCGGCUGCCUCUAGCUCCUGCCCCUACCUUGCUCCUCCUUCAGGGAAACAGAUCAGGUUGAAGUGUUCAAAGGCAGGCUGCCGCCUUGGGAGGCCGUCCAUAGUGGCCAUGACACCACCCUGGCAGGGCUGCUGGGCUCCAAGGUCACUGGUCAGUCUGCCCAGAGCCUGCCGGACCUCAGGCAUGUGACCCAACAACUCCAUUGUGUCUGAGGGCAUCUGAUGAAAUAAGCUGAACAAGAUGGGGAGAAAGGGAAAGAAACAGGCUAAGACGCUGGCCCUGGCUCUACAGCCAACACAGAAGUUAGUCCAUCCCUCUGGGCCCUGCAGGGUGAGAUGCUCCAUGAUUUGGGAUGGAAGUAGGACAGCUCCCGUCACCCCUUGUAUGACAGUGGACACUCAGACUCUCAGGGAAGAAAAACCUGGGGUAGGGGUGGUCAGAGUAGCAGGGGCACACUUUGGACAGACAGAGGUGAGAGAAGACGGCACCCCAGGGGGGUUCUGCCUGCAAAGGUGGGGAGGCAGGACUAGAAAAACAUUUUCAGAAGAACAGCAAACAAGUGGUUUGCUGUUGGUUCCACUUGGAUGGAACCAAGAGUGGGUCAAGACCCUGUAUGAUUUGAGGCUGGCUAAGUGGUGAAGAUCUGGUCAUGAAGUGGCUUUGAUCACCAGAAACCACAGCUCCAGAAGAUGGAAGAAGUGUUCCUGGGCGGGAGAUUUGUACCCUCCCCCAAAAUACCAUCAGACCAAGAGCCCUAGGGGAGGAGAGAGACCUGGGAAUUUGGGCACUGUUGACUCUGAGAUGUCAAAUAUGAGACUGGGGGGUUAGGAAGCCCGAGGGCUGCAGUCAUCAUCUUUGAGAUUUGAAGAGCUUUCUGGGGAUCAGGAAUUUGUUCUUUGCAGCCUGAAAACACAGGGCAUGCAGCCCCAGAGAGGCAAGUAUCUGCAGGAUAUUAGGAAGAAGUCUUCAACAGUCUGUCCACAGAGAGAUGAGGUGAUUGGGAAGCAGUGACCUUCCUGUCACCAGAGAGGUAUGUGAGCUUAGCAGGGACACUCUAGAACUCAGCAUUAGAGGAGGUUGGACCUCAUGGCUGUCACAGGAGGCUGGGAGAGGAAAGCAAGCAUCCUUGUUGGGCAGAAUCACAGGAAGACCAGGGUGGAGAGAUGGGGCUGCAGA